CACCUCUAGCAUUUCCAGUAUUAGAGGCACUGCCUGCCCAGUGACAUCUGUUUAAACGGCCGCGGUAUCCUAACCGUGCAAAGGUAGCAUAAUCACUUGUUCCCUAAAUAGGGACUUGUAUGAAUGGCCACACGAGGGUUUUACUGUCUCUUACUUCCAAUCAGUGAAAUUGACCUUCCCGUGAAGAGGCGGGAAUGACUAAAUAAGACGAGAAGACCCUAUGGAGCUUUAAUUAACUGAUUCACAAAAAACAACACACAAACCUAACCUUCAGGGACAACAAAACUUUUGAUUGAAUCAGCAAUUUCGGUUGGGGUGACCUCGGAGAACAAAACAACCUCCGAGUGAUUUAAAUCCAGACUAACCAGUCAAAAUAUAUAAUCACUUAUUGAUCCAAACCAUUGAUCAACGGAACAAGUUACCCUAGGGAUAACAGCGCAAUCCUAUUCCAGAGUCCAUAUCGACAAUUAGGGUUUACGACUUCGAUGUUGGAUCAAGACAUCCUAAUGGUGCAACCGCUAUUAAGGGUUCGUUUGUUCAACGAUUAAAGUCUU
This 554-nucleotide ribosomal RNA is filed under the name Equus caballus (horse). RNAcentral's name for it is "partial large subunit ribosomal RNA". It matches the Rfam family "Bacterial large subunit ribosomal RNA", at positions 1816 to 2597 of the family's 2925-position model. The record is from RNAcentral. Lineage: Eukaryota; Metazoa; Chordata; Mammalia; Perissodactyla; Equidae.